GCCUUUCCUGCUUGCGUAGAUGGCGACCGGCGCACGGGUGCGUAACGCGUAUGAAACCUACCUGUUAUUAGGGGAUAGCCUUUAGAAAUGAAGAUUAAUACCCUAUAGUAUAAUUUAACCGCAUGGUUUUAUUAUUAAAGAUUACGAUAACAGAUGGUCAUGCGUCUUAUUAGCUAGUUGGUAGAGUAACGGUUUACCAAGGCAACGAUAAGUAGGGGUCCUGAGAGGGAGAUCCCCCACACUGGUACUGAGACACGGACCAGGCUCCUACGGGAGGCAGCAGUGAGGAAUAUUGGUCAAUGGAGGCAACUCUGAACCAGCCAUGCCGCGUGAAGGAAGACGGUUCUAUGGAUUGUAAACUUCUUUUAUGUAGGAAGAACUAUAAAUACGUGUACUUAUUUGACGGUACUACACGAAUAAGCACCGGCUAACUCCGUGCCAGCAGCCGCGGUAAUACGGAGGGUGCAAACGUUAUCCGGAAUCAUUGGGUUUAAAGGGUUCGUAGGCUGUUAGCUAAGUCAGAGGUGAAAUUUUGUCGCUUAACGAUAAAACUGCCUUUGAUACUGGUUGACUUGAAUUAUUGUGAAGUGGUUAGAAUGUGUAGUGUAGCGGUGAAAUGCAUAGAUAUUACACAGAAUACCGAUUGCGAAGGCAGAUCACUAACAAUAUAUUGACGCUGAUGAACGAAAGCGUGGGGAGCGAACGGGAUUAGAUACCCCGGUAGUCCACGCCGUAAACGAUGGAUACUAGUUGUUGGAUUAUUUCAGUGACUAAGCGAAAGUGAUAAGUAUCCCACCUGGGGAGUACGGUCGCAAGAUUGAAACUCAAAGGAAUUGACGGGGCCCGCACAAGCGGUGGAGCAUGUGGGUUUAAUUCGAUGAUACGCGAGGAACCUUACCAGGGCUUAAAUGUAGAUUGACAGGUUUAGAGAUAGA
RNAcentral lists this ribosomal RNA (935 nucleotides) under uncultured bacterium. RNAcentral describes it as "bacterial SSU rRNA". It matches the Rfam family "Bacterial small subunit ribosomal RNA", at positions 69 to 1010 of the family's 1533-position model. The record is from RNAcentral.